RNAcentral lists this ribosomal RNA (253 nucleotides) under uncultured bacterium. RNAcentral describes it as "partial 16S ribosomal RNA". It matches the Rfam family "Bacterial small subunit ribosomal RNA", at positions 524 to 776 of the family's 1533-position model. The record is from RNAcentral.
UACGUAGGGUGCGAGCGUUGUCCGGAAUUAUUGGGCGUAAAGGGCUCGUAGGCGGUCUGUCGCGUCGGGAGUGAAAACUCAGGGCUUAACCCUGAGCCUGCUUCCGAUACGGGCAGACUAGAGGUAUGCAGGGGAGAACGGAAUUCCUGGUGUAGCGGUGAAAUGCGCAGAUAUCAGGAAGAACACCAAUGGCGAAAGCAGCUCUCUGGGACGGUACUGACGCUGAGACGCGAAAGCGUGGGGAGCGAACAGG